GAUGAACGCUGGCGGCGUGCCUAAUACAUGCAAGUCGAGCGAACAGAUGAGGAGCUUGCUCCUCUGACGUUAGCGGCGGACGGGUGAGUAACACGUGGAUAACCUACCUAUAAGACUGGGAUAACUUCGGGAAACCGGAGCUAAUACCGGAUAAUAUAUUAAACCGCAUGGUUCAAUAGUGAAAGACGGUUUUGCUGUCACUUAUAGAUGGAUCCUCGCCGCAUUAGCUAGUUGGUAAGGUAACGGCUUACCAAGGCAACGAUGCGUAGCCGACCUGAGAGGGUGAUCGGCCACACUGGAACUGAGACACGGUCCAGACUCCUACGGGAGGCAGCAGUAGGGAAUCUUCCGCAAUGGGCGAAAGCUUGACGGAGCAACGCCGCGUGAGUGAUGAAGGUCUUCGGAUCUUAAAACUCUGUUAUUAGGGAAGAACAAAUGUGUAAGUAACUAUGCACGUCUUGACGGUACCUUAUCAGAAAGCCACGGCUAACUACGUG
Molecule: ribosomal RNA, 497 nt
Filed under: uncultured bacterium
Lineage: Bacteria
Description: partial 16S ribosomal RNA
Rfam family: Bacterial small subunit ribosomal RNA
Source: RNAcentral